GGUCGGCUGGAGCGGGCCAGCGUGACCACUCCUGCCACGAGCAGGACCGCGGCUCCGGCCGCGAUCGACCC
RNAcentral lists this transfer RNA (71 nucleotides) under Streptomonospora litoralis. RNAcentral's name for it is "Streptomonospora sp. M2 tRNA-Gly". The record is from RNAcentral. Lineage: Bacteria; Bacillati; Actinomycetota; Actinomycetes; Streptosporangiales; Nocardiopsidaceae.